AGCAGCCGCGGUAAUUCCAGCUCCAAUAGCGUAUAUUAAAGUUGUUGCAGUUAAAAAGCUCGUAGUUGAAUUUCGGGAUUAGUACGUUGGUCGUGCCUUAGGUACGUACUGGUGUUACUGGUUCCUACCUUCUGACGAACCAUCAUGUCAUUAAUUUGGUGUGGCGGGGAAUCAGGACUGUUACUUUGAAAAAUUAGAGUGUUUAAAGCAGGCUCGCGCUUGAAUACAUUAGCAUGGAAUAAUGAAAUAGGACGUUGACCCUAUUUUGUUGGUUUCUAGGAUUGACGUAAUGAUUAAUAGGGAUAGUUGGGGGCAUUAGUAUUCAAUUGUCAGAGGUGAAAUUCUUGGAUUUAUUGAAGACUAACUACUGCGAAAGCAUUUGCCAAGGAUGUUUUCAUUAAUCAAGAACGAAAGUUAGGGGAUCGAAGACGAUCAGAUACCGUCGUAGUCUUAACCAUAAACUAUGCCGACUAGGGAUCGGAUGAUGUUUAAUUUUUAACGACUCAUUCGGCGUCCGUUA
This 520-nucleotide ribosomal RNA is filed under the name uncultured Glomus. RNAcentral's name for it is "SSU rRNA". It matches the Rfam family "Eukaryotic small subunit ribosomal RNA", at positions 569 to 1092 of the family's 1831-position model. Lineage: Eukaryota; Fungi; Glomeromycota; Glomeromycetes; Glomerales; Glomeraceae. The record is from RNAcentral.